Molecule: ribosomal RNA, 255 nt
Filed under: uncultured bacterium
Lineage: Bacteria
Description: partial 16S ribosomal RNA
Rfam family: Bacterial small subunit ribosomal RNA
Source: RNAcentral
UACGAAGGGGGCUAGCGUUGCUCGGAAUCACUGGGCGUAAAGGGCGCGUAGGCGGCCUGCUAAGUCGAACGUGAAAUCCCCGGGCUCAACCCGGGAACUGCGUCCGAUACUGGCAGGCUUGAAUCCGGGAGAGGGAUGUGGAAUUCCAGGUGUAGCGGUGAAAUGCGUAGAUAUCGGGAGGAACACCAAUGGCGAAGGCAGCUCGCUGGGACGGUACUGACGCUGAGACGACGAAAGCGGUGGGGAGCAAACAGG